Molecule: ribosomal RNA, 600 nt
Filed under: uncultured bacterium
Lineage: Bacteria
Description: bacterial SSU rRNA
Rfam family: Bacterial small subunit ribosomal RNA
Source: RNAcentral
GGCGCACGGGGUGCGUAACGCGUGGGAAUCUGCUUGGUCGGAAUACUCAGAGAAAUUUGAGCUAAUACGGAUGAUGACGUAAGUCCAAAAGAUUUAUCGCCAGAUGAGCCCGCGUAAGAUUAGCUAGUUGGUGGGGUAAAGCCUACCAAGGCGACGAUCUUUACUGGUCUGAGAGGAUGAUCAGCCACACUGGGACUGAGACACGGCCCAGACUCCUACGGGAGGCAGCAGUGGGGAAUAUUGGACAAUGGGCGAAAGCCUGAUCCAGCAAUGCCGCGUGCAGGAUGAAGGCCCUCGGGUUGUAAACUGCUUUUGUACGGAACGAAAAGCCUGGGGCUAAAUAUCCCCGGGUCAUGACGGUACCGUAAGAAUAAGCACCGGCUAACUACGUGGCCACAGCCGCGGUAAUACGUAGGUGCAAGCGUUAAUCGGAAUUACUGGGCGUAAAGCGUGCGCAGGCGGGUUUUGUAAGACAGUGGUGAAAUCCCCGGGCUCAACCUGGGAACUGCCAUUUGGUGACUGCAGGUUAAAGUGCGGCAAGGGGGAUGGGAAUUCCGUUNUUACCAUUGAAAUGGUUAAAUUUGGAGAACCCGAUGGAAG